AGGUUACUGCUAUCGAGGUUCGACUAAGCCAUGCGAGUCGAAUGUAGCAAUACAUGGCGUACUGCUCAGUAACACGUGGACAACCUACCCUCCGGACGGGUAUAAACCCGGGAAACUGGGUAUAAUCCCCGAUAGAUCUCGGUCGCUGGAAAGCCCCGAGAUCGAAAGCUCCGGCGCCAGAGGAUGGGUCUGCGGCCUAUCAGGUAGUAGUGGGUGUAGCGUACCCACUAGCCUACGACGGGUACGGGUUGUGAGAGCAAGAGCCCGGAGAUGGAUUCCGAGACACGAAUCCAGGCCCUACGGGGUGCAGCAGGCGCGAAAACUUUACAAUGCCGGCAACGGCGAUAAGGGGACCUCGAGUGCCAGGUUACAAAUCUGGCUGUCGUGAUGCCUAAAAAGCAUUGCAUAGCAAGGGCCGGGCAAGACCGGUGCCAGCCGCCGCGGUAACACCGGCGGCUCGAGUGGUAACCGUUAUUAUUGGGUCUAAAGGGUCUGUAGCCGGCCAGAUAAGUCUCUUGAGAAAUCCAGCAGCUCAACUGUUGGGCUUUCAGGAGAUACUGUCUGGCUCGAGGCCGGGAGAGGUGAGAGGUACUUCAGGGGUAGGGGUGAAAUCUUGUAAUCCUUGAAGGACCACCAGUGGCGAAGGCGUCUCACCAGAACGGACCUGACGGCAAGGGACGAAAGCUAGGGGCACGAACCGGAUUAGAUACCCGGGUAGUCCCAGCUGUAAACGAUGCUCGCUAGGUGUCAGGUGCGGUGCGACCGCAUCUGGUGCCGCAGUGAAAACUUGAAGCGAGUCACCUGGGAAGUACGGUCGCAAGGCUGAAACUUAAAGGAAUUGGCGGGGGAGCACUACAACGGGUGGAGCCUGCGGUUC
RNAcentral lists this ribosomal RNA (877 nucleotides) under uncultured archaeon. RNAcentral's name for it is "bacterial SSU rRNA". It matches the Rfam family "Archaeal small subunit ribosomal RNA", at positions 21 to 903 of the family's 1478-position model. The record is from RNAcentral.